This is a non-coding RNA of Leptonychotes weddellii (Weddell seal), 307 nucleotides long. NCBI's taxonomy places the organism in Eukaryota, Metazoa, Chordata, Mammalia, Carnivora, Phocidae. The record is from RefSeq and is a predicted model, not a curated record.
CGGUCCCGGGAGGGCGGAGUCACUAGUCUGCGCGGUGACCUGCUGCCACUUUUUUGCUCAGAGUCGUUGGCUUUUAGGGGUGGAGCCGCUGCGAGAUCUUUAAGGCCUACAUUUACUCCUGUAAUAACUGCCUUGGAUUGCAGACAUGACUCUUCAGCCAGCGCUGUGAAAUAGAUGGGUCUCACCUAUAUGCUUCUCAGGUGGGCCCUAAAUGCCAUCACAAGAAUCCUUGUAAGAGAAAGGCAGACAGUGAUUUUAAAAAUACACAGAGAAAGGAAGAUGAUGUGAAGAUGGAAGUAGAGAGUGG